CAGCCGCCGCGGGAAUACGAAGGGUGCAAGCGUUACUCGGAAUUACUGGGCGUAAAGCGUGCGUAGGUGGUGGUUUAAGUCCGUUGUGAAAGCCCUGGGCUCAACCUGGGAAUUGCAGUGGAUACUGGGUCACUAGAGUGUGGUAGAGGAUAGUGGAAUUUCCGGUGUAGAGGUGAAAUUCGUAGAUAUCGAGAGGAACACCGGUGGCGAAGGCGGCCAACUGGACAGAUACUGACGCUGAGACUCGAAAGCGUGGGGAGCAAACAGGAUUAGAUACCCCAGUAGUCCCUGUCUCUUAUAC
Molecule: ribosomal RNA, 301 nt
Filed under: uncultured bacterium
Lineage: Bacteria
Description: partial 16S ribosomal RNA
Rfam family: Bacterial small subunit ribosomal RNA
Source: RNAcentral